This 327-nucleotide ribosomal RNA is filed under the name uncultured eukaryote. RNAcentral describes it as "partial 18S ribosomal RNA". It matches the Rfam family "Eukaryotic small subunit ribosomal RNA", at positions 1470 to 1796 of the family's 1831-position model. The record is from RNAcentral.
CCCUUAGAUGUUCUGGGCCGCACACGCGCUACACUGAAGGAGGCAGCGUGUACUCCUGGAUCGAAAGAUUUGGGUAACCCGCGAAUCUCCUUCGUGCUAGGGAUUGAGGUUUGCAAUUAUCCUUCAUGAACGAGGAAUUCCCAGUAAGUGCAAGUCAUAAGCUUGCGCUGACUACGUCGCUGCCCUUUGUACACACCGCCCGUCGCUACUACCGAUUGAAUGAUUUAGUGAGGACUUCGGACUGGGACCGAUGCGGCUUUCGGGCUGCGUCGGUAUUCUGGAAAGAUGUCCAAACUGUAUCAUUUAGAGGAAGUAAAAGUCGUAACA